RNAcentral lists this transfer RNA (74 nucleotides) under Marmota monax (woodchuck). Its description in RNAcentral is "tRNA.Ala". Lineage: Eukaryota; Metazoa; Chordata; Mammalia; Rodentia; Sciuridae. The record is from RNAcentral.
GUUGGGUUGUGGCUCAGUGUUAGAGUAUUUGCCUAGCAUGCAUGAGGCAUUGGGUUAGAUCCUCAGCCCCCACA